GACAGAGGGUGCAAACGUUGUUCGGAAUUACUGGGCGUAAAGCGCGUGUAGGCAGCUUGGCAAGUCGGGUGUGAAAGCCCUGGGCUUAACCUAGGAAGUGCACUCGAAACUGCUGGGCUUGAGUUCUGGAGAGGAAGGCGGAAUUCUCGGUGUAGAGGUGAAAUUCGUAGAUAUCGAGAGGAACAUCGGUGGCGAAGGCGGCCUUCUGGACAGUGACUGACGCUGAGACGCGAAAGCGUGGGGAGCAAACAGG
This 253-nucleotide ribosomal RNA is filed under the name uncultured bacterium. RNAcentral describes it as "partial 16S ribosomal RNA". It matches the Rfam family "Bacterial small subunit ribosomal RNA", at positions 524 to 776 of the family's 1533-position model. The record is from RNAcentral.